GCAGGCGUGGUGGAAUCGGUAGACACAGCGGACUUAAAAUCCGCCGGGCCCAGCCCAUGCGGGUUCGAGUCCCGCCGCCUGCA
RNAcentral lists this transfer RNA (83 nucleotides) under Jannaschia seohaensis. It matches the Rfam family "tRNA". From Rfam's summary of the family: Transfer RNA (tRNA) molecules are approximately 80 nucleotides in length. RNAcentral also lists the same sequence under 1 other name. Lineage: Bacteria; Pseudomonadati; Pseudomonadota; Alphaproteobacteria; Rhodobacterales; Roseobacteraceae. The record is from Rfam by way of RNAcentral.